RNAcentral lists this ribosomal RNA (320 nucleotides) under uncultured eukaryote. RNAcentral describes it as "partial 18S ribosomal RNA". It matches the Rfam family "Eukaryotic small subunit ribosomal RNA", at positions 1470 to 1796 of the family's 1831-position model. The record is from RNAcentral.
CCCUUAGAUGUUCUGGGCCGCACGCGCGCUACACUGACGAAUGCAACGAGCUUAUAACCUUGGCCGAAAGGUCUGGGUAAUCUCCAAAUUUCGUCGUGAUGGGGAUAGAUUAUUGCAAUUAUUAAUCUUCAACGAGGAAUGCCUAGUAAGCGCAAGUCAUCAGCUUGCGUUGAUUACGUCCCUGCCCUUUGUACACACCGCCCGUCGCACCUACCGAUUGAAUGGUCCGGUGAAAUCUCGGGACGGCGGCUUGGUCGCUUGCGUCCGACUGCUGAAACUUGAUUAAACCAUAUCAUUUAGAGGAAGGUGAANUCGUANCA